AUUGAACGCUGGCGGCAUGCUUUACACAUGCAAGUCGAACGGCAGCGCGGGCUUCGGCCUGGCGGCGAGUGGCGAACGGGUGAGUAAUGCAUCGGAACGUGCCCAGUAGUGGGGGGUAGCCCGGCGAAAGCCGGAUUAAUACCGCAUACGACCUGAGGGUGAAAGCGGGGGACCGAAAGGCCUCGCGCUAUUGGAGCGGCCGAUGUCGGAUUAGCUAGUUGGUGGGGUAAAGGCUUACCAAGGCGACGAUCCGUAGCUGGUCUGAGAGGACGACCAGCCACACUGGGACUGAGACACGGCCCAGACUCCUACGGGAGGCAGCAGUGGGGAAUUUUGGACAGUGGGGGCAACCCUGAUCCAGCCAUGCCGCGUGCGGGAAGAAGGCCUUCGGGUUGUAAACCGCUUUUGUUCGGGAAGAAAUCCUCUGGGCUAAUACCCCGGGGGAUGACGGUACCGGAAGAAUAAGCACCGGCUAACUACGUG
This 483-nucleotide ribosomal RNA is filed under the name uncultured bacterium. RNAcentral describes it as "partial 16S ribosomal RNA". It matches the Rfam family "Bacterial small subunit ribosomal RNA", at positions 28 to 507 of the family's 1533-position model. The record is from RNAcentral.